RNAcentral lists this ribosomal RNA (486 nucleotides) under uncultured bacterium. Its description in RNAcentral is "partial 16S ribosomal RNA". It matches the Rfam family "Bacterial small subunit ribosomal RNA", at positions 30 to 507 of the family's 1533-position model. The record is from RNAcentral.
AUUGAACGCUGGCGGCAUGCCUUACACAUGCAAGUCGAACGGCAGCACGGGUGCUUGCACCUGGUGGCGAGUGGCGAACGGGUGAGUAAUACAUCGGUACCUGUCCUGUAGUUGGGGAUAGCCCGCCGAAAGCCGGAUUAAUACCGCAUACGAUCUACGGCUGACAGCGGGGGACCUUCGGCCUUCGCGCUAUAGGGUUGGCCGAUGGCGGAUUAGCUCGUUGGUGGGGUAAAGGCCUACCCAGGCGACGAUCAGUAGCUGGUCUGAGAGGACGAUCAGCCACACGGGGACUGAGACACGGCCAAGACUCCUACGGGAGGCAGCAGUGGGGAAUGUUGGACAAUGGGCGAAAGCAUGAUCCAGCAAGGCCGCGUGUGUGAAGAAGGCCUUCGGGUUGUAAAGCACUUUUGUCCGGAAAGAAAUCCUUGGCCCUAAUACGGUCGGGGGAUGACGGUACCGGAAGAAUAAGCACCGGCUAACUACGUG